GCUACAGUAGCGUAGCGGCAGCGCAGUGGGUUAUGUCCUCACAGGUCCGGGUUCGACUCCCGGCUGUAGCC
This 71-nucleotide transfer RNA is filed under the name Candidatus Nanoarchaeia archaeon. RNAcentral describes it as "tRNA-His". It matches the Rfam family "tRNA". Rfam says of the family: Transfer RNA (tRNA) molecules are approximately 80 nucleotides in length. RNAcentral also lists the same sequence under 1 other name. Lineage: Archaea; Nanobdellati; Nanobdellota; Candidatus Nanoarchaeia. The record is from RNAcentral.